RNAcentral lists this small nuclear RNA (75 nucleotides) under Fukomys damarensis (Damara mole-rat). RNAcentral describes it as "U4 spliceosomal RNA". It matches the Rfam family "U4 spliceosomal RNA", at positions 1 to 75 of the family's 138-position model. From Rfam's summary of the family: U4 small nuclear RNA (U4 snRNA) is a component of the major U2-dependent spliceosome. The structure of U4 snRNA from yeast and human has been reported. U4 snRNA presents a k-turn RNA motif in the 5p-SL related to recognition of Snu13 protein. Lineage: Eukaryota; Metazoa; Chordata; Mammalia; Rodentia; Bathyergidae. The record is from Rfam by way of RNAcentral.
AGCUUUAUGCAGUGGUAGUAUUGUAGCCAAUGAGGUUUAUUCAAGGUGCAAUUAUUGAUAAUUGAAAGCAUCUUA